Molecule: ribosomal RNA, 206 nt
Filed under: uncultured bacterium
Lineage: Bacteria
Description: partial 16S ribosomal RNA
Rfam family: Bacterial small subunit ribosomal RNA
Source: RNAcentral
UCCGUAGGCGGUGUGGUAAGUCGGGAGUGAAAUCUCUGGGCUUAACCCAGAGGCUGCUUCCGAAACUGCCGUGCUAGAGUGUGAGAGAGGCGAGUGGAAUUACGGGUGUAGCGGUGAAAUGCGUAGAUAUCCGUAGGAACAUCCGAGGCGAAGGCGGCUCGCUGGAUCACAACUGACGCUGAGGGACGAAAGCUAGGGAGCAAACA